AUGGGCGAGGAGCUUGUGCAUGUGUCGGGAAUCCCCUCGUUCCCGGCAACGCACUGCUUCAAGCCGCUCAUGGAUCGUGACGACGCGGCAUACAGAGCUUUCCUGGGGGUGUCCCCCUACCUCUGCCGCUCCCAGGGCAUUAUCGUCAACACCUUCCGCUCGCUUGAGUCGCGCACCGUCGACGCCAUCAGUGUCGGGCUCUGCACACCUCCCGGCCUCCCAACGCCUCAUGUCUACUGCAUCAGGCCGCUGAUCAAGUCGGAGGAGGUGGGCGUGAAGCACGACCAAGAGUGCCUGACAUGGCUAGACACACAUCCCAAGGCCAGCGUGGUGUUCCUCUGCUUCGGCAGCCGCAGCCUGUUCAGCGCAAAUCAGACCAGAGAGCUGGCCAUAGGCCUGGAAGCGAGUGGCAAAAGGUUCUUGUGGGUUGUGCGGAGCCCGCCCAGGGACAUCGACGGCCCGGCGAAGAAGCUGGACAAGCUGCCGGACCCGGACCUCGACGCUCUCCUCCCAUAG
This 516-nucleotide ribosomal RNA is filed under the name Triticum aestivum (bread wheat). RNAcentral describes it as "partial small subunit ribosomal RNA". Lineage: Eukaryota; Viridiplantae; Streptophyta; Magnoliopsida; Poales; Poaceae. The record is from RNAcentral.